CAUCCGUGCUGGACCAUGUACAAGUCUCUUGGAACAGAGUAUCAUAGAGGGUGAGAAUCCCGUCCUUGACAUGGACUCCCAGUGCUUUGUGUUGUGCUCUCAACGAGUCGAGUUGUUUGGGAAUGCAGCUCAAAAUGGGUGGUAAAUUCCAUCUAAAGCUAAAUAUUGGCGAGAGACCGAUAGCGAACAAGUACCGUGAGGGAAAGAUGAAAAGCACUUUGGAGAGAGAGUUAAACAGUACGUGAAAUUGUUGAAAUGGAAACGCUUGAAGUCAGUCGCGUUCUCUGGGACUCAGCCUUGCUUUUGCUUGGUGCAUUUCCUAGUCUACGGGCCAGCAUGGAUUUUGACCGGCGGAAAAGGGCUUGGGGAAUGUGGCACCUCCGGGUGUGUUAUAGCCCCUUGUCGUACACGUCGAUUGGGAUCGAGGAAUUUCAGUGCACGCUUCGGUUGUGCUUUGAUGCUGGCGUAAUGGCUUUAAGCGACCCGUCUUGAAACACGGACCAAGGAGUCUAACAUGUCUGCGAGUGUUUGGGUGAAAAACCCGAGCGCAUAAUGAAAGUGAUAGUUGGGAACCUCUUUAGAGGGGCACCGACGCCCGGACCAGACCUUCUGUGACGGAUCCGAGGUAGAGCAUAUAUGUUGGGACCCGAAAGAUGGUGAACUAUGCCUGCAUAGGGUGAAGCCAGAGGAAACUCUGGUGGAGGCUCGUAGCGAUUCUGACGUGCAAAUCGAUCG
RNAcentral lists this ribosomal RNA (735 nucleotides) under Ceratobasidium theobromae. Its description in RNAcentral is "eukaryotic LSU rRNA". It matches the Rfam family "Eukaryotic large subunit ribosomal RNA", at positions 162 to 904 of the family's 3401-position model. Lineage: Eukaryota; Fungi; Basidiomycota; Agaricomycetes; Cantharellales; Ceratobasidiaceae. The record is from RNAcentral.